RNAcentral lists this small nuclear RNA (113 nucleotides) under Microtus ochrogaster (prairie vole). Lineage: Eukaryota; Metazoa; Chordata; Mammalia; Rodentia; Cricetidae. The record is from RNAcentral.
AUGCUCACUCUGGCAGCCAUUAUAUAUGCUGAAACUGGAACAAUGCAGGGAAGAUUAGCAUGGCCUAAGCAAAGAUGACCCACAAUUCCAUGAAGUAGUCAUUCUCCAUUUUU